GACGAACGCUGGCGGCGUGCUUAACACAUGCAAGUCGAGCGGUAAGGCCUUUCGGGGUACACGAGCGGCGAACGGGUGAGUAACACGUGGGUGAUCUGCCCUGCACCUCGGGAUAAGCCUGGGAAACUGGGUCUAAUACCGGAUAUGACCUCCUAUCGCAUGGUGGGUGGUGGAAAGAUUUAUCGGUGCAGGAUGGGCCCGGGGCCUAUCAGCUUUUUGGUGGGGUAAUGGCCUACCAAGGCGACGACGGGGAGCCGACCUGGGCGGGUGACCGGCCACACUGGGACUGAGAGACGGCACAGCCUCCUACGGGAGGCAGCAGUGGGGAAUAUUGCACAAUGGGCGGAAGCCUGAUGCAGCGACGCCGCGUGAGGGAUGACGGCCUUCGGGUUGUAAACCUCUUUCAGCAGGGACGAAGCGAAAGUGACGGUACCUGGAGAAGAAGCACCGGCUAACUACGUG
RNAcentral lists this ribosomal RNA (462 nucleotides) under uncultured bacterium. Its description in RNAcentral is "partial 16S ribosomal RNA". It matches the Rfam family "Bacterial small subunit ribosomal RNA", at positions 28 to 507 of the family's 1533-position model. The record is from RNAcentral.